CCCACACACCCACACUCCGUGACACGUGACCGCCGCCUCCGCCCCUUCUACCCUUCGUGCCACCGCCACCCAGCGUCACCGUAGUUCCGGCAUCUGUCUUUGGUAGCCAAGAGGUUUAUCGGUGCACCAUGAGCACGCCCAGGGACGAUGCGGCGGGCGUGGGAUGCUUGCUGCCUCCGCACGGGCCAGCCAACAUGAUGUCGACGUACAUGACUCGCUACGACUACGACUACAACCGCGAUCCCCGUCUGGCAGGCAGCGACGGCGGCAGUGGGCGCGGCUUCAAGCAGGAAAUAAGCGGCGAAGUGCGCAACCGCCCCAUCUUUGCCUACGGUGUUGACACAGGCGACCGCGACGACCGCACUAUCUACCAAGUAGACUACACAAACAAGGACCGCUCCGUGAAGAAUAUGGCCUGGCUGGCCGCCACGCUGACAGAUUCAGCCGCUUCUGCAGCUGCGGCAAGGAUUAGAGGCCAGGAUAACGGCACGGCGUACCAGCACAACUGGUAUCUCCCCGCUGUCUCCGCUCACAUUGUCUUGGCGGACGGUAGCCAUCCGCAUACAGUGUACCAGGAUGACUACCAGGCACCCCGGCACGUCGCUGAUGGCGCCGUGCAUGAUCCGGUGUGCUACGCGGGAGCCGCCACUGCCGCCUACAAUGCGGAUCUGCUCAAGCCGCACGGCGUGAUGGAGGACGACGGCGCCGACCUCGCGCCGAAGAUCACAUCAAAGGAUUCGCUGCUGCCACGGAAACACGCGAGCUCCAACGCUACGUGGACGCCAGUCUUCGAGAACACCGCUGACCACCGCCACACGUGGAAUGAUUGCGUGCCUGGGGACGGUGUGAUGGGCACAUACACGUGCACCUCCUGGGAUUACGGCGACACGAGUCAGGCUCACCCCUCGCAGCUGCCGCUGAGCCUGGCGCGCAGUCUUGCAGCCCACAACCUGGACGCCUCCGCGAACCCGGACAAGGCAGCGCUGCUGCGCCGUCUCGCCGGAAGGCACUACUCCUCUAGGACGCUGCGCGGAUCAUCGAGCGGUGCUCCGCUGGACACGAACGACCGCACGAACCCGCAGUUUCUGUCAACGGCGGAGCAGAAGCGGUGCGCGGUGAGCCGGCGCCUUGAGAAGGAGCACUACGUCACCAUGUCCAUCUACAAGAGCGACUUCAUUGAUCAGGGGCUGCUGCCAGAGCUGCCCGGAAACCCUGGCGGGCCGGCGGACGCUCGCGACACUCACACCAGCCCCGUGGCCACUGCGGGGGAGAUGAUGGCCGGCCAGCUAACAAACGCGACGCGCGAGCUGGGCUUGCUGCGCAACGCGCACGGCACCCUCAAGUCCAGCGAGGCGCACGCUGCGUCGCGGGUGAGCACCGGCGUUUUGUCAGCGAUGCGCGCGAUGGAGAAGGCGGCCUCGAUCGACAAGGCCGACCCGCACUGCCACAAGCUCCGUGAGUAGUUGCAGCCUUUCUUCCCUUCAACCUUCGCCUUCUCUGUCUCGCACCACCGCCGUGGUCCGUCCAUCUCUGCCCUGGCGAUGCGCACACGGACGCUCGGAUGUGUAUGCGCGUGGGUAGGCAAUGUGCUUGCCGUUGUUGCCGUCCGCCUAGCGUCUUUCGCCUUCAUGCCGCGUUUGCCUGCGUGUUGUUUGUAGUGUGUUGUGGGCAACUUCCCUGCCGUUCUAACGCCCUUUUCUGCCGGCCCUGGUUGUAAUGUACACUGUCGCUUCUCUUCUUUUCGUGUGCUUUCACGUUUUUUUUUCACCCGUUUCCAUGUAAAUUACAAGCAAGCGAAGGCACGCAUACGCACCAGCUCACGGCAGGGAACGAAAAGCUACACUCACGCACACCGAUCGGUCCUCCUCGAUAUCCGGUGUGUGUGUCGAGGGGGGGGGUGGAGGAGGCGUCAUGCGCAUUCCUGUUGCCGUGUCCGUCUUGUUUUUCUCGCGCCCCUUCCCGCUUGUGCAUUUUAUGCCCUUUUUCCAUGUUCCUUGGCUGUGCGGCAUCGACGUUUUUUUUUUGGUUUCUUGCUGCAUGUGAUUUGUAUCUUCUUGCCAGCGUCCGCGUGUGCGUGUCUCUAUCUGUGCUUGUGCGCUCAAAGCCUCUGUCGCGCCUCCGCGCGCGUGCCGGGCGCCUCACGGAGCUCUCUGCCCCGUCCCCUUCUUUUUUUUUUUUCGACAGCAGCCACCUGGAUGUUCAACAGGAAGGAGACGGCACUUGUUUGAUGGCUUCCCUUCAUCUUGUGGUGCUCAUGUAGUGUGUGGCGGCACUGCACAUGCGGAGGUGGUGGGGCGGCAGACGAUGCACGCAAAAUAUGCGUGCGCGCGACACAGAGCGGGAGCAUGCGGAGAAGAGUGAUCGCGUCCAGCUCGCACGUGCAGACACGCACGCGGGCGCUCUUCACGCUUCAUGCGAACAUUUUUUUGCUUGUUGCGAUUUGCUGCGUUGAUCCCCGCCAGCAGCGUUGCUUUUGUUGUUCUUCCUUUAGUCAUGAGUGCAUUGCCCCCCCCCCCCACUCCUGCAGGCGGGCGGGCGGGCGGGGAUGCACGGUGACGGCCAAAGAAUGAAGUAAAAAAGCGAUGGCUGGGAGCUGCUGCGUCCGUGGCACUGCGCAGCGAUGCAGCGAACAGGAACCGAAAGGCAGUGCUGCUGGAGGGCACGCGCGCAAUGCUGCGUUUUCCAACUCCUUGCGCUUGUGCAGGCCACGCUCGCACAUCCGGUGAUGCACACAACAGCUUACAUUCUUGCUCUGGCCCUCCCAUUCCCCCCCCCCCCCCCUUACGCACCGCGCACACAUCAUCCACCUCUCUCGCUCUCUCACUCUGUGUGUGCGUGCGUGCCCCUCCUUCUCUUCCCACGUUCAUAUCCUCAUUGCGCCAUCUGCCACGCAG
Molecule: unclassified non-coding RNA, 2894 nt
Filed under: Leishmania donovani
Lineage: Eukaryota; Euglenozoa; Kinetoplastea; Trypanosomatida; Trypanosomatidae
Description: gene:LdHU3.11.0950(CDS-product:hypothetical_prote in_conserved)
Source: RNAcentral